RNAcentral lists this ribosomal RNA (702 nucleotides) under Frigoribacterium sp. RNAcentral's name for it is "bacterial SSU rRNA". It matches the Rfam family "Bacterial small subunit ribosomal RNA", at positions 55 to 772 of the family's 1533-position model. The record is from RNAcentral. Lineage: Bacteria; Bacillati; Actinomycetota; Actinomycetes; Micrococcales; Microbacteriaceae.
AUGCAGUCGACGAUGAACUGGAGCUUGCUCCAGGGAUUAGUGGCGAACGGGUGAGUAACACGUGAGUAACCUGCCCUUGACUCUGGGAUAAGCGCUAGAAAUGGCGUCUAAUACCGGAUACGAGCUUCAGCCGCAUGGCUAGGAGUUGGAAAGAAUUUUGGUCAAGGAUGGACUCGCGGCCUAUCAGCUAGUUGGUGAGGUAAUGGCUCACCAAGGCGACGACGGGUAGCCGGCCUGAGAGGGUGACCGGCCACACUGGGACUGAGACACGGCCCAGACUCCUACGGGAGGCAGCAGUGGGGAAUAUUGCACAAUGGGCGAAAGCCUGAUGCAGCAACGCCGCGUGAGGGAUGACGGCCUUCGGGUUGUAAACCUCUUUUAGUAGGGAAGAAGCGAAAGUGACGGUACCUGCAGAAAAAGCACCGGCUAACUACGUGCCAGCAGCCGCGGUAAUACGUAGGGUGCAAGCGUUGUCCGGAAUUAUUGGGCGUAAAGAGCUCGUAGGCGGUUUGUCGCGUCUGCUGUGAAAUCUGGGGGCUCAACCCCCAGCCUGCAGUGGGUACGGGCAGACUAGAGUGCGGUAGGGGAGAUUGGAAUUCCUGGUGUAGCGGUGGAAUGCGCAGAUAUCAGGAGGAACACCGAUGGCGAAGGCAGAUCUCUGGGCCGUAACUGACGCUGAGGAGCGAAAGCGUGGGGAGCGAA